UACAGAGGUCCCGAGCGUUGUUCGGAUUCAUUGGGCGUAAAGGGUGCGUAGGCGGCUUCCUAAGUUUGAUGUGAAAUCCUGGGGCUCAACCCUGGAACUGCAUUGAAUACUGGGAGGCUAGAGUACGGGAGAGGAAACUGGAAUUUACGGUGUAGCAGUGAAAUGCGUAGAGAUCGUAAGGAAGACCAGUGGCGAAGGCGAGUUUCUGGACAGUUACUGACGCUGAGGCACGAAGGCCAGGGGAGCAAACGGG
RNAcentral lists this ribosomal RNA (253 nucleotides) under uncultured bacterium. RNAcentral describes it as "partial 16S ribosomal RNA". It matches the Rfam family "Bacterial small subunit ribosomal RNA", at positions 524 to 776 of the family's 1533-position model. The record is from RNAcentral.